GUAGGGUGCAAGCGUUAAUCGGAAUUACUGGGCGUAAAGCGUGCGCAGGCGGCUUUGCAAGACAGGUGUGAAAUCCCCGGGCCUAACCUGGGAACUGCAUUUGUGACUGCAUGGCUGGAGUCUGUCAGAGGGGGGUGGAAUUCCACGUGUAGCAGUGAAAUGCGUAGAGAUGUGGAAGAACACCGAUGGCGAAGGCAGCCCCCUGGGAUGAGACUGACGCUCAUGCACGAAAGCGUGGGGAGCAAACAGGAUUAGAUACCCUGGUAGUCCACGCCCUAAACGAUGUCUACUAGUUGUCGGAGGGUAACUCCUUCGGUAACGCAGCUAACGCGUGAAGUAGACCGCCUGGGGAGUACGGUCGCAAGAUUA
RNAcentral lists this ribosomal RNA (369 nucleotides) under uncultured bacterium. RNAcentral describes it as "bacterial SSU rRNA". It matches the Rfam family "Bacterial small subunit ribosomal RNA", at positions 527 to 896 of the family's 1533-position model. The record is from RNAcentral.